AGCGGCGGAUGGGUGAGUAACACGUGGGGAACCUGCCCCUAAGUCUGGGAUACCAUUUGGAAACAGGUGCUAAUACCGGAUAAUAAAGCAGAUCGCAUGAUCAGCUUUUGAAAGGCGGCGUAAGCUGUCGCUAAGGGAUGGCCCCGCGGUGCAUUAGCUAGUUGGUAAGGUAACGGCUUACCAAGGCGACGAUGCAUAGCCGAGUUGAGAGACUGAUCGGCCACAUUGGGACUGAGACACGGCCCAAACUCCUACGGGAGGCAGCAGUAGGGAAUCUUCCACAAUGGACGCAAGUCUGAUGGAGCGACGCCGCGUGAGUGAAGAAGGUUUUCGGAUCGUAAAGCUCUGUUGUUGGUGAAGAAGGAUAGAGGUAGUAACUGGCCUUUAUUUGACGGUAAUCAACCAGAAAGUCACGGCUAACUACGUGCCAGCAGCCGCGGUAAUACGUAGGUGGCAAGCGUUGUCCGGAUUUAUUGGGCGUAAAGCGAGCGCAGGCGGAAAAAUAAGUCUAAUGUGAAAGCCCUCGGCUUAACCGAGGAACAGCAUCGGAAACUGUUUUUCUUGAGUGCAGAAGAGGAGAGUGGAACUCCAUGUGUAGCGGUGGAAUGCGUAGAUAUAUGGAAGAACACCAGUGGCGAAAGGCGGCUCUCUGGUCUGCAACUGACACUGAGGCUCGAAAGCAUGGGUAGCGAACAGGAUUAGAUACCCUGGUAGUCCAUGCCGUAAACGAUGAGUGCUAAGUGU
RNAcentral lists this ribosomal RNA (744 nucleotides) under uncultured bacterium. RNAcentral describes it as "bacterial SSU rRNA". It matches the Rfam family "Bacterial small subunit ribosomal RNA", at positions 94 to 823 of the family's 1533-position model. The record is from RNAcentral.